This 250-nucleotide ribosomal RNA is filed under the name uncultured bacterium. RNAcentral describes it as "partial 16S ribosomal RNA". It matches the Rfam family "Bacterial small subunit ribosomal RNA", at positions 524 to 773 of the family's 1533-position model. The record is from RNAcentral.
UACGAAGGGGGCUAGCGUUGCUCGGAAUCACUGGGCGUAAAGCGCACGUAGGCGGAUUCUUAAGUCGGUGGUGAAAUCCUGGAGCUCAACUCCAGAACUGCCUUCGAUACUGAGAGUCUCGAGUCCGGGAGAGGUGAGUGGAACUGCGAGUGUAGAGGUGAAAUUCGUAGAUAUUCGCAAGAACACCAGUGGCGAAGGCGGCUCACUGGCCCGGUACUGACGCUGAGGUGCGAAAGCGUGGGGAGCAAAC